AUGAGAGCAAACAGGCAGGAUCACAGCCCAGGAGUGAGAAAUAAGGUCUGAUGAGUCAGRUACUGGGAUUCUUUUCUGAAUAUUUAAAGACAACUAUGGUAAGGAAGAGAGAAGAAAUCUAAGAAAGACUGUGAACUCCCUGGAGCCAUACAGUAGUGACUAUGCUGAAAAGAGAAACCAAGCAACCAGUCAGAGAACUAGAAAUAAUUCCAAAUGCACUGCCAGAUUAUUUUAGUGCCAGGCACAAAGCUGAUUUGGGAAGUUGUGAAAAUUAAGAAGGUCUUAGUUCAAAUAAACCAUGGCUCUGGGCUUCUUGGUGUGAAUCAACAUGAGCUUGGGCUUUCAAGACAGGUAAAUAUGGGGGGAAAGAAGAACCAGUUGCAGUAGCAGGGGAAAGAGAGCUUUCGCUGAAAGAAACUCUGAAGCACCUCAGAUUCUUCUGGCAUUAGCUACCUGGGUGGUGAAGAGGUGGAUCCUGAACACAGAAAGAACUUUAGUCCUGCAAGAGAAUGAGUUUCUAAACUCCUGCUGGUUGGAAUUAGAGGCACAAAUCUAGGGUCAUGGAACUGACCAGCUCCUGUGGUCAUACAGGAUCAGACUCAUAGCUUUGGCCUUAUUAUCCAGAGUUCUCUCAGCAGCACUGGAUGGUUCUCAGGCUACGCUGUACAUUCCAGAAUCAAUGAGUAG
RNAcentral lists this long non-coding RNA (687 nucleotides) under Urocitellus parryii (Arctic ground squirrel). RNAcentral's name for it is "lncRNA (ENSUPAG00010015873.1)". Lineage: Eukaryota; Metazoa; Chordata; Mammalia; Rodentia; Sciuridae. The record is from RNAcentral.